CAAAAUGCCAUACACUGGAGUGCUUAAGAAGUACAAGUUGUUUUGUUCUGUUUCUCACAAUUCUGGAGACUGAAAAGUCCAAGAUCAAGGUGCCAGACAGUUUGAUUACUGGCCUUUUCCAACAGUUUGAAGAGAUGACCUCUAAGCAGAUGGGCUUGGAACAUAGGAUUUAUGCUGAUCUCUCCAUACAGGCAUCCAAAAUCAAACUGUGUUUGCUCCCAUGCUUGAAGAAACUCAACAUCCUAAAAAUUAGUAGAACAUACUUCCAAUUCUAAGAUAAGGACUAUCUGGUCAUUUUUUUCAAUUGCUUUAUAACCUUGUCUUUCUCAAAGGUAAUUAGUUAAAAAGCUGGAUAAUCUUUGAACAACUAUUUUUAAGAGGGGGAAAGGAUAUAUGUGUUUGCCCCUUUAGAGGAGGCCAAUGAUGUGUGCCUGUUGUGUUGUUUUUGUUAUUUAUUUUGCUUCUGCUUUUUACGAUUCCCAAAUU
Molecule: long non-coding RNA, 486 nt
Organism: Canis lupus familiaris (dog)
Lineage: Eukaryota; Metazoa; Chordata; Mammalia; Carnivora; Canidae
Exons: 3
Source: RefSeq, a predicted model, not a curated record